CAAGUCGAACGGAUAAAAUAAGCUUGCUUAUUUUGUAGUGGCGCACGGGUGAGUAAUAUAUAGCUAACCUGCCCUUUAGUGGGGGACAACAGUUGGAAACGACUGCUAAUACCCCAUACUCCUUCUUGUCUUAAGAUAAGUUGGGAAAGAUUUAUCGCUAAAGGAUGGGGCUUUAUUGUAUCAGCUAGUUGGUGGGGUAAUGGCCUACCAAGGCAAUGACGCAUACCUGGUCUGAGAGGAUGAUCAGGCACACUGGAACUGAGACACGGUCCAGACUCCUACGGGAGGCAGCAGUGGGGAAUAUUGCACAAUGGAGGAAACUCUGAUGCAGCAACGCCGCGUGGAGGAUGACGCAUUUCGGUGUGUAAACUCCUUUUAUAGGGGAAGAUAAUGACGGUACCCUAUGAAUAAGCACCGGCUAACUCCGUGCCAGCAGCCGCGG
This 442-nucleotide ribosomal RNA is filed under the name uncultured bacterium. RNAcentral describes it as "bacterial SSU rRNA". It matches the Rfam family "Bacterial small subunit ribosomal RNA", at positions 58 to 520 of the family's 1533-position model. The record is from RNAcentral.